RNAcentral lists this ribosomal RNA (421 nucleotides) under uncultured Glomeraceae. Its description in RNAcentral is "SSU rRNA". It matches the Rfam family "Eukaryotic small subunit ribosomal RNA", at positions 459 to 886 of the family's 1831-position model. Lineage: Eukaryota; Fungi; Glomeromycota; Glomeromycetes; Glomerales; Glomeraceae. The record is from RNAcentral.
GGGAGGUAGUGACAAUAAAUAACAAUACGGGGUCCUUUCGGGUUUCGUAAUUGGAAUGAGUACAAUUUAAAUCUCUUAACGAGGAACAAUUGGAGGGCAAGUCUGGUGCCAGCAGCCGCGGUAAUUCCAGCUCCAAUAGCGUAUAUUAAAGUUGUUGCAGUUAAAAAGCUCGUAGUUGAAUUUCGGAAUCAGUGCGUUGGUCGUGCCUCUGGUAUGCACUGGUGUUACUGAUUUCUCCCUUCUGAAGAACUAUCAUGCCAUUAAUUUGGUGUGGUAGGGAAUCAGGACUGUUACUUUGAAAAAUUAGAGUGUUUAAAGCAGGCUCACGCUUGAAUACAUUAGCAUGGAAUAAUGAAAUAGGACGUUGAUCUUAUUUUGUUGGUUUCUAGGAUUGACGUAAUGAUUAAUAGGGAUAGUUGGG